UUGCAUCAGAUAUAGAAGCAUAAAGACGAUGGGUCCUCUGUCUCUCUGGAUCUUCAUCCAGAAUGCCAGAUCCAAUAGACUCUCCAUUAUUUUGUCCAUUUAAUGCUUUGAGGCUUCUCACCAUGGAAUCUUCACUAACAAGGUAAGAGAAGUCAGGUUGGCUGCCUCUUUUAGUGACAAAACCACUCCCAGCCACUUCUCCUCUGAAAAUAGAUAACCAGCAUUGCUCAUCAAACGGACAAAAG
Molecule: unclassified non-coding RNA, 245 nt
Filed under: Hevea brasiliensis (rubber tree)
Lineage: Eukaryota; Viridiplantae; Streptophyta; Magnoliopsida; Malpighiales; Euphorbiaceae
Source: RNAcentral